CCCUUAGAUGUCCGGGGCUGCACGCGCGCUACACUAAAGGAAUCAGCGUGCUAAAACCAUUGUCGAAAGGCAUUGGUAAACCCAUUAAAAUCCUACGUGAUUGGGAUCGGGAAUUGCAAUUAUUUCCCUUGAACGAGGAAUUCCCAGUAAGUGUGGGUCAUAAGCUCGCGUUGAUUACGUCCCUGCCCUUUGUACACACCGCCCGUCGCUGCCCGGGACUGAGCCGUUUCGAGAAAAGCGGGGACUGCUGCUGUCGGGGCUUUCGGGCCUUGGCUUCGGUGGAAACCGCUUUAAUCGCAGUGGCUUGAACCGGGCAAAAGUCGUAACA
RNAcentral lists this ribosomal RNA (328 nucleotides) under uncultured eukaryote. RNAcentral describes it as "partial 18S ribosomal RNA". It matches the Rfam family "Eukaryotic small subunit ribosomal RNA", at positions 1470 to 1796 of the family's 1831-position model. The record is from RNAcentral.